Molecule: ribosomal RNA, 926 nt
Filed under: Nanostrea pinnicola
Lineage: Eukaryota; Metazoa; Mollusca; Bivalvia; Ostreida; Ostreidae
Description: 12S ribosomal RNA
Rfam family: Microsporidia small subunit ribosomal RNA (bases 166-925)
Source: RNAcentral
GAAAUAUUUGGUUCUGGUAUAAUGUCAGCCUAGAGUUACCUAAAAUACACAAUGUAGAAGAUAUUCGUAAUGUGCUAAGCAAAUAAAAGUGAUAAGCUGUGACUUAUUCCUAAAAGGAAGUAAAGCAGUAAUGGCAUAAGUUUUUAAUGAUGACGCUAAGAUAAUCACAACUCAAGUGGGUAGUCCUGGAUUCAAUGAGUUUGCGCUCGAAACGAACGGAAAACUAAUAAAUGUAAGCUAAUGGGGGUGCCAGCAGCUGCGGUCAGUCCCCUUUAAACAGGCUGAUAGAGGUGUAGCCUAGAGGCGGUUAAUCAACUUAAACUAGUAAGACAUACGCCAAAGUUAUGGAGGUGAAAUUCCGCAAAAAUUGGAGGAGGCCCAAAGCUUGCAUAAAGAUGAACCCGCAAAGUUAUGGGUAUAGACCCGGAUUAGAUACCCGGUUAUUCCAUAAUGUCACGUACGGUUACUUCAUAUGAAAGUAAUUUGCUAGGAGUACUACGAGCAACUGCUUAAAACUCGAAGAACUUGGCGGUUCCACAAAACCAUCCAGAGGCUCUUGGCGCUUAAUCCGAUGAUCCGCGUGAUAUCUUACCCGCUCUAUAUGGCAAUGUACUGCCGUCGAAAGCUUAUAACGUAAGUGAAUAAUAAUAGGCUUUGCCUUAAGUUUGAAGUUAUUUCACUCGUUAAGACUAGGUCAGGUCGAAGUGUUCCUUAUGAGUGAGGGGUUAGCUGAGAGACAAUUUUUAAGGUAUAACAAGCUUUGGAAUGAAAAUUUUUAAAGCAAGGAGGAUUUGGGAGUAAAAGAAAAGUAACUUGCUUUUUUGAAUAGAUGCAACUGUGGUGCGUACAAAUCGCCCGUCACCCUAGCCGAAAGGAGAGGUAAGUCGUAACAUGGUAAGGGUAGGGGAACCUGCUCUUAUGAUAUU